Syngnathoides biaculeatus (alligator pipefish) is the source of this 268-nucleotide long non-coding RNA. RefSeq lists it as uncharacterized. The record is from RefSeq and is a predicted model, not a curated record. The transcript has 3 exons. Lineage: Eukaryota; Metazoa; Chordata; Actinopteri; Syngnathiformes; Syngnathidae.
CACACACGUCGGGCGCCCAGUUGGUGUCGCCCCCAAAACGCGCAAGCGAGCCUUUGAGAGCACGAACUUCUCCAACGAGGUUCAUCGCAGAUCCCUUCAGCGGAAUUCCGGUUCGGCGCGGACACUUCAAAGAUGGCGAACAACGGUGAGUAAAUAUGCGAGUGGAAGCAGAGGACUAGUGGCAGCUGUAUUCGGAGAAGGCGGAUCAAAGUCCACGGGGCGCAUUGGCAGGACCGCAGCUACCGUCAAGUUGGUGACGUGAACAGAU